RNAcentral lists this long non-coding RNA (664 nucleotides) under Homo sapiens (human). Its description in RNAcentral is "HSALNT0287237". The record is from RNAcentral. Lineage: Eukaryota; Metazoa; Chordata; Mammalia; Primates; Hominidae.
CUGGGAGCAGAGUGGAGAGUGGAGAGUUAGAGGUCAUUUGGAGUGGAGCAGAGUGCAGUGAUGGGAGUUGAUGGCAAUGGUCCGAAGGCUGAGUCUCAGCUAUGGGGAAGUAGAAGACCAGCAUAGCCACAUGACAGACUCAUUCGGCUCCUGAGGAAUAAGACAACCCAGGCAGUUGCUGCUGAAGAAGGCCACACUGUACCCAGAUGUUGAGAAUCCCUGUGGCUAAGACAGAGGAGAAUACAGCAUUAUAAUACAUUUUGGACUUUAAUUUCUCUGGACAUAGAAAUUCUAAGCUUUUGACUUUCACUUACAAGGAGAAGAUAUUUCAGUUUUGAACCUUAACUUCUUUAGGUCUUAACUCUAAAAAAUAAGAAGAUUUAAUUGUGAGCUUUAAUUUCCCUCCAUGAAUUAGAUCAUGGGGGAGGAGGAUUACAUCCAAAUUCAGGACAUCUCAAUGUUGCCAGCACUUCAUUGUUAGAGAAUCUUUACUUUGCCAUUUGACACCAAUAAAGAAUCUCUAAAGAGCUCUCCUAGAUAAGAUGAAUGAACAUAAUUUGUAAUGGAAAAUAGGCAGUUAAUUUUCAUCCUUGACUAUCCAGCAGUCUUGAAGUGAAGUUAAUUUGCCUAUUGUUCUGACCCAUUCUAGAGCCUUCUGAAAGCA